ACUGCUAUUGGGAUUCGACUAAGCCAUGCGAGUUGAGAGGGUUCGGCCCUCGGCAGACGGCUCAGUAACACGUGGAUAAUCUGCCCUUAGGUGGAGGAUAACCUCGGGAAACUGAGAAUAAUACUCCAUAUGUCUAGGAUGCUGGAAUGCACCUAGAUUUAAAGCUCCGGCGCCUAAGGAUGAGUCUGCGGACUAUCAGGUAGUAGUCAGGGUAAAGACCUGACUAGCCUACGACGGAUAUGGGUUGUGAGAGCAAUAACCCAGAGAUGAUAUCUGAGACACGAUAUCAGGCCCUACGGGGCGCAGCAGGCGCGAAAACUUCACACUGUGCGAAAGCACGAUGAGGGAAUCCCAAGUGCUUGUUCGCAAGAGUAAGCUGUUUCUACGUUUAAAAUGCAUUGAGAGUAAGGGCUGGGUAAGACGGGUGCCAGCCGCCGCGGUAAUACCUGCAGCUCGAGUGGUGACCGCUAUUAUUGGGCCUAAAACGUCCGUAGCCGGUUUUAUAAAUGCCUGGGUAAAUCGUGUAGCUUAACUAUACGAAUUCCGGGUAGACUGUUAAACUUGAGACCGGGAGAAGCUAGAGGUACUCCUGGGGUAGAGGUGAAAUUCUGUAAUCCUAGGGGGACCACCAGUGGCGAAGGCGUCUAGCUAGAACGGGUCUGACGGUGAGGGACGAAGCCCUGGGGCGC
Molecule: ribosomal RNA, 689 nt
Filed under: uncultured euryarchaeote
Lineage: Archaea; Methanobacteriati; Methanobacteriota
Description: bacterial SSU rRNA
Rfam family: Archaeal small subunit ribosomal RNA
Source: RNAcentral